This is a long non-coding RNA of Vigna angularis (adzuki bean), 5853 nucleotides long. RefSeq lists it as uncharacterized. The transcript has 2 exons. NCBI's taxonomy places the organism in Eukaryota, Viridiplantae, Streptophyta, Magnoliopsida, Fabales, Fabaceae. The record is from RefSeq and is a predicted model, not a curated record.
GUGCAAAUGGUGGGUGGUGGGCAACUUCGGAAACAGUGGAUUGUAACAAUGGAUGGAGUUCCGGUGAAACCCUUUGUUUUUUUAUCUCUGCUUUCAUUAUUUUGCUUGCCCUUAUCUUUCAAAAUAAACUUGUGGAAUGGGUGUUGGGUUGUUGGACAGAUGACUCUGAUUAUCUUCUACUCCUCAUGCAGUGAAGAUGUCUAUUGAAUCGUGCAUGCAGUAGGCGUAGAUUAUUUAACUUACUGCAAAACUUUAUGUUUUAUUAUAUUCUCAUCUACUAUUUUUCUUGUCUGCUCAAGUGUCUUUAGUCUCUCUUAUUGGUUGUAGGAAGGUACAUUGUUCACUGGACAAUUAUGGUCAGAGAAUCUGUUAUGGAAAUUUCUCCAUUGGUUUUUUAAUUCCUGAAUUUGUUUAUUCAUCUUAUCAUCUAGGUCCCUCAUCUUUUACCCAAAUUGAUUAUAGUUUUAUUGAAUACAUGGGCUUUACAUGAAAACGUAUUGGUUGUAGGAAGGUACAUGUGUAAGUCAUGGUGUUUGUCUAACCUUGAGCAAUACUUGAUCGCAGAACCUUAUGAUGAUCGAGCCUACUAUUGAAUUUUCUCAAUUAGUAUUUCGGUUCCUAAAUUUCUUUAUUGAUCUUAUGGUUUUGGGUCUUUCAUCUUCUAUCAAAAUUUCUUGAAUGAAUGUAGUGUUGGUCCUUCAUCAUCUACCCAAUUUGAUUAACGUUUUUCUGAAUUGAUGGGCAAAUGGUGGGUUUGGGUAGGUUUCGGUAAUGGUGGAUGGAAAUCUGGUGAACCUUAGGUUUUUAUUAUUUUUGAAUUCAUUAUGUUCAUUGCCGUUAUUCUUUAAACUAAACUUGUGGAGUGGGAGAUUUUAAAAGUAUACUUGGGAUUAUCAGAAUUGUGGUGCUUAAAUGCUGACUAGAGGAGAAAACUAUUAUUGUGCUUUACAUGGUACGAUCCAUUACGAUUAACAUUAGGAUAAAAUUGUUUUAUAGUGGGUAAUAAAAGUAAUUAGAUACACUGGUUUUAGUUGUUCAAACCUUGUUGUAUCAGUUUUGGAAGUUUUGAAAAUGUUAUAUUUUGUUUUGGACCAAUCUGAAUAUGCUGGAAUACUUACAUUUUGUACUCAAUCUUCCUGUUGAUUGUUGCAUCUUAAUUAAAUAUAAAUAGUAAAGUGGUAGGAAGAAGGAGUACAAAUGUCCUAUGUAUUUUGAACGUUGAGCCUAGUCUAAAUGGAUAUUACAGUUGUAAAUGGAUCUAUUUUACUGCAUGGGUGGUCGUGAACUGGUACAUGUUAGUAACUCACGGCUAUCAUGUACUAUAUCUGAUAUAUGCAUUAUAGUUCUAAAAAUAGUUAACUGAACUAUUGUAGUGUAACUGAACUAAAAAAAUAGUUCAGUUUAUUUUAUUUGAAAAAAAUUUUAGUUUAGUUCAAUUACUCUAACUAUUUUAUAGUUAACUAUAUUUGUAAUUAAGUAGAGUACAGUACACUUUGCCCACCCCUAGCUGCUACAGCCUUUUUGAUGAUGUUGCCUUUUUGAUGAUGUUGCCUUUUUGAUGAUGUUGCCUCUUUGUAGUUCCAACCUCCUUUCACGUGCGCAGUGCCUUUGGUUUAGCCUUCUUCUCUGUGUUGUACCAUCUUCAAGCUAGAUUAUUGAGAAGAAUCAUUGUGGUGAGAAGAAUCAAAAAGGAAAGAGAAGAGUGGAACAAAGAAUUGUGUUCGUUCUGCCGGCAAGUUAGUUUUUAAAACACAUUUAUGUUUCUCUCUAUAACUUUUUUAUGUUUAUAUUAUGUUAUGAUAAAUGUUUAUUACAUGUGUUAGAAAUUCAGGAUUACUCAUUCUAACUAAUUGACUUUUUAACUAUUUAUUUUGGUUUUUUACCCUGUUGAAGUUUUAGUUGUUUAUUGUGCUAUUACACCCUUCUUAACAAUGUCGCCUCUUUGCAUUUCCAACCUCGUUGUAUUUGUAGUCUCGUUGGUGUGGCCUUCCAUCUUUAAACCAAGUAACAUUGACUCCUCUUGCCACAAUUGUUUUCAAAGACCUGCUUGUUUUUUUGUAAUUUUGUGUCGGAUUGAAAAUUUGUCCUAUUUGAUUACUGUAGGCUUUCAGAGAUUGAGUUUGGUCACAGAUUUUGGUUAUGAUUAAGAUUGUUUUUAUUCACAAUGCAAAUUUCAGAUGAUUUUGUGAGUUACUGCUUAUAAAUAUGUUUUCGAACUUUAUAUUGACUUGACAACCUACAUAUAUAUAUGGUUUUAUCACACUAUAAAACUAAGAUUAGAGUGUCCCUCCAAUUUUAAAUCUGAGUUAAUAUUGUGCCUCAAAUUUUGAAAGCCCUAUAAAAUUCAUUUUAUUCAGAGUGCGAAUUUUAGAUGCUUACAUUUGAGUUGUUGCUUAUAAUAUAGUUGCAAGAUGAAUGCUUUAUUCCGUGUGGCUAUUUCUUGAGCCCAAAAGAUGUAUUAAGAGGAUGCAUGUGAAAUGAUAGUUGUGUAACAUUUGUGUGCAUCCAGAUUGAGACUCAGGGAGCACAAUUUGACAUAUUUAAUCAUAGUCAAGAUAAUGAAUGAGUAUAUUCGAGUAAACACUUUGAAUCAUUUUUUGCAAUGAAAUUUUUUAAUUACCAUAGGAAACAAUGACAGUUUUUGAGCCUCUUUUUGUGUGGAAUUGACGGGUUACAAUUGUGCUUUAUACUGAAUUUUGGGUAACAAAGAUUGCUUUUGAGCUUCGUAUGAUUUUGACAUCAUGUUGAUAUAUUAUUUUAUUCACUCUAUGUGUGGUUGCAAUUUGGAAAGCCCUAUAACUUGAGUUGGGCAUACACCCUAAAUGGAAAUGGAGUUGUCGAAUAGCUUUUUGAUAUUUUUGGUUCACAAUGCAAGUUUCGGAAGGCUAUAUUUUGAUUUGUCCCACAUGGAAUUCUCGAAUUGCACUUUGAUUUUCUUGUAUCACUGUGCAAAUUGGAUAUGGUAUAUUUUGAGUUGUCCCAUCAUAAAUAGAUUUGUCCAAUUGCAAGACAGUGGAUGAGUAUAUAUGAGUUAACACUUUGAAUCGUUUUCUGCGAUGAUAAUAAUUAUCAGUGGAAAAAAUGACGGUUUGGGUGGAAUUGACGGAUUAUAAUUGGGCUUUAUAUUUAAUUUAUGGACGACAAAGAUUGCUUUUGAGCUUUGUAUGAAUUUGACAGUUUACAGAUAUAUUGUUUUAUUCACUCUAUAUAUCCGAGUUGAUGGUGUGGUUGCAAUUUUGAAAGUCUUAUAACUUGAGGUGGGCCUACACCCUAAAUGGAACUGUCGAAUUGCACUUUGAUUGUUUUUGGUUCACAGUGCAAGUUCUAUAAGGGUAUAUUUUGAGUUGUCCCAAAUGGAAUUCUCGAAUUGCACUUUGAUUUUCUUGUUUCACUUUGCUAAUUCCAUAUGGGUAUAUUUUGAGUUGUCCCAUGAUAAAUAGAUUUGUAAAAGUGCAACAUAGUGGCUUAGUAUAUCUCAGUUCACACUUUGAAUUGUUUUCUGUGAUGAAAAUUUUUAAUUGUCAUAUGAAACAAUGACGGUUUGUGAGCUUUAUCUUGUGUGGAAUUGACGAAAUUGGGCUUUGUAUUGAACUUAUGGGUAACAAAGAUUGCUUUUGAGUUCGUAUGAAUUUGACCGCUUAUAGAUAUUUUGUUUUAUUCGCUGUACAGAGUUGAUGGUGUGGCUGCAAUGUGGAGAGUCUUAUAACUUUAGGUGGACAUAUACCCUAAAUGGAACGGUCGAAUAACACUUUGAUUUUAUAAUUCAUAGUGCAAUUUCAAUAAUAGUAUAUUUUGAGUGGUCCCACCUGAAAUUCUCGAAUUGCACUUUGAUUUUCUUGUUUCACUGUGCAAAUUCCAUAUGGGUAUAUUUUGAGUUGUCCCAUCAUAAAUAUAUUUGUAUUGAGACCGUUGAUGAAUUCUGGACUAUAAUUUGACUUCAUAUUUAUUCAUUUUGUAAAUAUGAGUUGGGUGUGCAUUCUAAAUUUAGUUUACAGUUUUUGACUAUUUUUGAAAUUUUGGAAUGGCUAUAUCUAAGUUGUCCCUUAUAAUCUUGUUGGAAUAUGCUAUUUUUAUCCAAUGAGGGAUUAAAUGGUCAUUAGUUAUCAAGGAUCGGCUAAAUGUAUUCCUUUUGAGGUGGCUGAUGGGAGGCCUCCACCAACACUGACACGCUUUAUGUCGGGCGAAAUAACAGUAGAAGCUGUGGCACAUGUGCUGCAGAAGGGGGAUGAGGCGUUAAAGCAACUCAAGUACCAUCUAGGAAGGGCACAGGACCAGAUGACCAAAUAUGCGAACUGGAAAAGGAAACCAGUGACAAUUAAAGUAGAGGACUGGAUUUAUUUGAAGAUCAGACCUCUCCGGCAAGUGUCCAUGCUUACCACAUUACAUCUGAAGCUCUGCUCACGAUAUUAUGGGUCGUUUAAGGUGGUUAAACAGGUGGGACCAGUGGCCUUCAAACUUCAGCUUCCGGACCCAGCUAGGAUACUUCCUGUGUUUCAUGUAUCCUAGCUAAAGCUGGCAGUUGGCACACAGCAGGUUGAAAAGGAUCUACCCGAAGAGUUACAGGGAGAAGGACUGACAUUUUGGCCACUAAGAGUGUUGGAUAGAAGACAACAACAACGAAAGAAAGGUUUGGUGCCACAGUUGCUAAUUGAGUGGCAAGAAGGAGGUGCUAAAUUGGGUGUUGGAAUCAUAUUUGAGAUUUUUCAGCUCGGAGCAGCCAAAGAGCUGGAGUUUAGUUCUGCCAUGGGCAGAAUACUGGUAUAACACCAACUAUCAGGGAUCGUCUAAAUGUACUCCUUUUGAGGUGGUUUAUGGGAGGCCUUCACCAACACUAACACGCUUUAUGCCGGGUGAAACAGCAGUAGAAGUUGUGGCACAGGAUCUGCAGACGAGGGAUGAGGCGUUGAAGCGGCUCAGGUACCAUCUAGCAGGGGUACAGGACCAGACGACCAAAUAUGCCAACUGGAAAAGGAAACUAGCGAUGAUUAAAGUAGAGGACUGGGUUUAAUCGAAGAUCAGACCUCACCAACAAGCGUCCAUGCUUACGAGAUUACAUUCGAAGCUCUCCGCACUAUAUUAUGGGCUGUUUAAGGUGGUUAAACAAGUGGGACCGGUGCCUUCAAACUUCAGCCUUCGGACACAGCUAGGAUACUUCCUGUGUUUCAUGUAUCCUAGCUAAAGCCGGCAGUUGGUACACAGCAGGUUGAAAAGGAUCUACCCGAAGAGUUACAGGGAGAAGGACCAACAUUUUGGCCACUAAGAGUGCUGGAUAGAAGACAACAACAACAAAAGGAAGGUUUGGUGCCACAGGUGCUAAUUGAGUGGCAAGAAGGAGGAAAUGAGGGGGCAAUGUGGGAGGUUGUUUUGACCAUGCAAGAGCAAUUUCUGGACUUCAAUUUUGGGGACAAGUGGUGGCGGGUAAGAUAGGAUACUAAGAGUCUGUGAGAGGAGGAAAAAGAAUUGAUAUAGUAGUUAGGAGGUUAGGGGGGUGUUGUUAUGUUUGUAACUGUUAGCAUCUCAGUUAACAGUCAGUUAGCGGGAUGGAAGCCUUUAUAAGAAGGUUGGGGAACUGUUGUAAGGGGUCAACUUUGUUAAAUCUUUUGUAUAGACAGGACAUCUAUAUCCUGUGGAGGGGGAGUGCUCUUUUGGGUGGCUGUAGUGUACAUUGUUUGCUCGUUAUAGAAGAAUACACAUACUUCUUUUCUCUUCUUAGUGUUCGUUUGUGUGCUGUGAGAAGCGUUAGAUAGAUUUCUUGACCAUGGUUUUUGUUUAAACAAGAGCAGUACUUGAUCAUUGGACAUUAUGUUCAACGAGCGUAUUAAGGAAAUUUUUUCAUUGGUUUUUGAAUUCUCA